Molecule: transfer RNA, 73 nt
Filed under: Actinomycetota bacterium
Lineage: Bacteria; Bacillati; Actinomycetota
Description: Actinobacteria bacterium tRNA-Met
Rfam family: tRNA
About the family: Transfer RNA (tRNA) molecules are approximately 80 nucleotides in length.
Source: RNAcentral
GGCGGCGUAGCUCAGUGGUUAGAGCGGCGGACUCAUAACCCGCAGGUCGGUGGUUCAAAUCCACCCGCCGCUA